Panthera uncia (snow leopard) is the source of this 739-nucleotide long non-coding RNA. RefSeq lists it as uncharacterized. The transcript has 4 exons. Lineage: Eukaryota; Metazoa; Chordata; Mammalia; Carnivora; Felidae. The record is from RefSeq and is a predicted model, not a curated record.
AUUUUAUCCUUGGCGUAGCCUACAUGGUUGAUAUGUUUGGAGAGAGAGAUUGUGAAGCAAAGAUGAAAAACUCUACCAAUUUCAAAAGUUGCUGACCCGCCAUCCAUCUGUGCUCUCCCAGGACAGUGAGAAAAAGGUUGACUGGAAUCGAUCCAGAAGAGCGCCCUGCCUGAGGCUUCCAGGCUGUGAGCUCCACGAAUCGGAAGGGGAAUCAUCCCACUUCCAGGCACGUCAACAAAGUAUGUCUCAACCCCUGAUGGUGGCUGGUUGGUUAAUCUGCUCCCAGAACCGGGAGGAUUAGAGGAAGUGUUGCCGGGUCAGAGGUAAACACUCUGGAGGCCCCGUCAAGAAGGCCUUACUGAGGUCACCUUGUGCAGCUCCUGAGAUUGGCCAUGCCCAGCAGGUGGGGAGCAGUGGUCUACGGUCGAAGGGCUUCAGAGCAGGACCAUCUGCUUUUCCUGCACAACAAGCUCCCUGGCUUUCAGCCGCUCUGUUCCACCUGGAACUCAUCCACAGGGCGCUGUGGGAAAGGACUGAGCAUCAGAAGACCUGAACCUGGCCUCGACUCUGGGGCUGCCCAUCCUCCACACCCCAGUUCUGUCUCUGGAUCUAGGAAGAGCAUCUCCUGUCCUUCCCACCUAAAGGAUCAUUAGGGAAUCAAACAAGACGAUGUGUUAAGGGACUUUACACCUGCGUCACGUGAAACCGGGCAGACAGGUUAUUAUUACCAGCAUUUUAA